RNAcentral lists this ribosomal RNA (227 nucleotides) under Vibrio parahaemolyticus. The record is from RNAcentral. Lineage: Bacteria; Pseudomonadati; Pseudomonadota; Gammaproteobacteria; Vibrionales; Vibrionaceae.
CCGUGAGGCUUAACCAUACAACACCCAAGGGGUUUUGAUGGACUCAAUGAAAGAACAUUGAAUGUGUAAGAACGAGAAUUAAGAAACAGCUUUCCAGAUUAAAGAAUUUGCUUGGCGACCAUAGCGUUUUGGACCCACCUGAUUUCCAUGCCGAACUCAGAAGUGAAACGAAAUAGCGCCGAUGGUAGUGUGGGGCUUCCCCAUGUGAGAGUAGGACAUCGCCAGGC